AGAGAGGGAUUCUAUCUCGAGCAACUUUUCUCCCCAUCACUAUUCUCCUCGAGAUGACGAAAUGGAGAGAGCUUCAAGAGAUGCAAUGCCGAAUUGAUGCACUACAGAACUAGGCCCCACUGUAACAAGGUAUGGAGAUCAAUUUUAAUACUAAAUUCCCAUUUGCUCGAUAGAUUAUGGACGAGUUGCUUCCAGCACCAUUUAAAAUGCUAACAUUUGGAGCCGUACAAUAGGACCACCAAUCCCAUC
RNAcentral lists this long non-coding RNA (249 nucleotides) under Elaeis guineensis (African oil palm). RNAcentral's name for it is "long non-coding RNA (EGUI_LNC044195)". The record is from RNAcentral. Lineage: Eukaryota; Viridiplantae; Streptophyta; Magnoliopsida; Arecales; Arecaceae.